This 118-nucleotide ribosomal RNA is filed under the name Propithecus coquereli (Coquerel's sifaka). The record is from RNAcentral. Lineage: Eukaryota; Metazoa; Chordata; Mammalia; Primates; Indriidae.
GUCUAUACCAUACCACCCUGAAUGCACCCAAGUUCAAAUAAUCUUGGAAGCUAAGCAGGGUCGGGCCUGGCUAGUACUUGGAUGGGAGGCCGCCUUGGAAUAUGGAGUGCUGUAGGCU